Cyprinus carpio (common carp) is the source of this 382-nucleotide long non-coding RNA. RefSeq lists it as uncharacterized. NCBI's taxonomy places the organism in Eukaryota, Metazoa, Chordata, Actinopteri, Cypriniformes, Cyprinidae. The record is from RefSeq and is a predicted model, not a curated record. The transcript is spliced from 3 exons.
GCCGUCAUACAGCAGCUGGCUGAUGAUCAGCUUGUAAAGGUGCUGUCUGUCCUUCAGUGUGGGCUUGGGCCGGAACAUCUUUGCUGCUUGAUGACUGCAAGCGAACGAAGCAAGACAGAAACGCUCAGAUUGCAGGGUAAAAACAGCAAAUAAUCUGUUCAAGAUUAGGAUGCAGAGAUUAACUGGCGUAUCAGCAAAAUCCUGUAAAUUUCCCUUCAAAAACAAACAGCACACCAUCAUGUGUUUGCCACGUUACUUGGAAAGUUCGUCGAGCAAAAGCCGAAGCAGAAGAACCAGUGGCGGGUGUUUCUCAAAACAGCCUGAAACUUCAGCAACAUUAGCCGAUCCGGGACCAGUCUCCACCUCGAGCCAAAAAUGUAUG